This 292-nucleotide ribosomal RNA is filed under the name uncultured bacterium. Its description in RNAcentral is "partial 16S ribosomal RNA". The record is from RNAcentral.
GGACUACACGGGUAUCUAAUCCCGUUCGCUCCCCUAGCUUUCGCACCUGAGCGUCAGGUACUUCCCAGGACACUGCCUACGCCUUUGGUGUUCCUCCGGAUAUCUACGCAUUUCACCACUCCACCCGGAAUUCCGUGUCCCUCUGAAGCCCUCAAGUCGGGCAGUUUUCGAAGCACUUCACCAGUUAAGCCGGUGACUGUCACUCCAAACUUACCAGACCGCCUGCGUGCGCUUUACGCCCAGUAACUCCGGACAACGCUUGCCCCCUACGUAUUACCGCGGCGGCUGGCAC